RNAcentral lists this ribosomal RNA (497 nucleotides) under uncultured bacterium. RNAcentral's name for it is "partial 16S ribosomal RNA". It matches the Rfam family "Bacterial small subunit ribosomal RNA", at positions 28 to 507 of the family's 1533-position model. The record is from RNAcentral.
GAUGAACGCUGGCGGCGUGCCUAAUACAUGCAAGUCGAGCGAACAGACGAGGAGCUUGCUCCUCUGACGUUAGCGGCGGACGGGUGAGUAACACGUGGAUAACCUACCUCUAAGACUGGGAUAACUUCGGGAAACCGGCGCUAAUACCGGAUAAUAUAUUGAACCGCAUGGUUCAAUAGUGAAAGACGGUUUUGCUGUCACUUAUAGAUGGAUCCGCGCCGCAUUAGCUAGUUGGUAAGGUAACGGCUUACCAAGGCAACGAUGCGUAGCCGACCUGAGAGGGUGAUCGGCCACACUGGAACUGAGACGCGGUCCAGACUCCUACGGGAGGCAGCAGUAGGGAAUCUUCCGCGAUGGGCGAAAGCCUGACGGAGCAACGCCGCGUGAGUGAUGAAGGUCUUCGGAUGGUAAAACUCUGUUAUUAGGGAAGAACAAAUGUGUAAGUAACUAUACACGUCGUGACGGUACCUAAUCAGAAAGCCACGGCUAACUACGUG